Molecule: ribosomal RNA, 514 nt
Filed under: uncultured bacterium
Lineage: Bacteria
Description: partial 16S ribosomal RNA
Rfam family: Bacterial small subunit ribosomal RNA
Source: RNAcentral
GAUGAACGCUGGCGGCGUGCCUAAUACAUGCAAGUCGAGCGAACAGAUGAGAAGCUUGCUUCUCUGAUGUUAGCGGCGGACGGGUGAGUAACACGUGGGUAACCUACCUAUAAGACUGGGAUAACUCCGGGAAACCGGGGCUAAUACCGGAUAAUAUUUUGAACCGCAUGGUUCAAUAGUGAAAGACGGUUUCGGCUGUCACUUAUAGAUGGACCCGCGCCGUAUUAGCUAGUUGGUAAGGUAACGGCUUACCAAGGCGACGAUACGUAGCCGGCCGGAGAGGGUGCUCGGCCACACUGGAACUGAGACACGGUCCAGACUCCUACGGGAGGCAGCAGUAGGGAAUCUUCCGCAAUGGGCGAAAGCCUGACGGAGCAACGCCGCGUGAGUGAUGAAGGUCUUCGGAUCGUAAAACUCUGUUGUUAGGGAAGAACAAAUUUGUUAGUAACUGAACAAGUCUUGACGGUACCUAACCAGAAAGCCACGGCUAACUACGUGCCAGCAGCCGCCGUAA